UACGAUAACGAACGAGACCUUAACCUGCUAAAUAGUUAGGCCAACGUUUGUUGGUCGUCAACUUCUUAGAGGGACUAUUGACUAUUAGUCAAUGGAAGUUUGAGGCAAUAACAGGUCUGUGAUGCCCUUAGAUGUUCUGGGCCGCACGCGCGCUACACUGAUCAAGUCAACGAGUUUACAACCUUGGCCGGAAGGUCUGGGUAAUCUUUUGAAACUUCAUCGUGCUGGGGAUAGUUCAUUGCAAUUAUUGAACUUCAACGAGGAAUUCCUAGUAAGCACAAGUCAUCAGCUUGUGUUAAUUACGUCCCUGCCCUUUGUACACACCGCCCGUCGCUAGUACCGAUUGAAUGGCUA
RNAcentral lists this ribosomal RNA (354 nucleotides) under Eukaryota sp. RNAcentral describes it as "SSU rRNA". It matches the Rfam family "Eukaryotic small subunit ribosomal RNA", at positions 1324 to 1699 of the family's 1831-position model. The record is from RNAcentral.